RNAcentral lists this unclassified non-coding RNA (2796 nucleotides) under Hevea brasiliensis (rubber tree). Lineage: Eukaryota; Viridiplantae; Streptophyta; Magnoliopsida; Malpighiales; Euphorbiaceae. The record is from RNAcentral.
GUGCAGAUGUUGCUGAAUCAGAGCUAAAUCAAUCUGGUGUGCUUGAGGUCGAAAGAAGCUCUCAAUUAGAGCCGAAUCAGUCUGGUAAUAUUGAGGUCACAAACAGUGAUGAUGUUGCUGAAUUAGAGCCAAAUCAGUCUGUUAGUGUUGAGGUCACAAGCCCUGCAGAUGUUGCUGAAUCAGAGCCAAAUCAGUCUAGCAAUAGCGAAGACAAGAUUGAACGUGUAAGAGAAUUGAAUUUGGCUGUAGAUACUAAAGGAAACCAAGAUUCUCCAAUUGCAAUUACUGAAGGGUUUAAAAAUGAUGGUGAUUUGGACAAUCAAGGGAAGGAACCUGUUCGAUUUUCCAACAAGCUUCCUGUGGAAGGUCCUCAAAAGGAAUCUGAGGUACAGUUGGAGCAGAAAACAAAGACAAUUCCUUGUCUAGUGGUGGCUGAUGUAAAAUUGGAGGAAGCAGCAGAAGUUAUUGAUGCCUCUGCCGUUAGUGAAUAUGACAAUGAGUCGUCUGCUGAUCAUACCCAAGACAGUGUUGCAGAAACAAGUGUUGUUAAUGGUGGUUUAGUUGCCAGUCAAGAUACAUCUCAGCAAAACAGCUCUUUGAAGGAGAUUGAGACCUUGAUUUCUUGCAAUGCCCAAAUUGGUAGAAAUGAAGCCCCAACUUCUCUUGACACUGAAAAUGGCAAGACCUCUCCAUGUACAAGAGAUAAUGAUACAAUUGGAUAUCCAACUAAUGAAAUUACCGAGACUGUUGUACAGUUAAAAUCAGAGGCUGUUCAUGGGCAUAUUACAUGUGAUAACGGAGAAUAUUUGCCUACUGAUCAUCAAGAAAGUGUUUCACAGACCAUUGCUAAUGACUUUGCUCAUGCCAGUCAAACCACAACUGAAGGAAAUAAGCCUUCUGAAGUUGUCAGAAUGAUUAUUCAUCACAAUGUGGCUGUUGAAAGUUAUGAAAGCAUUCCAGUUGCUUCUGCUAGUGAUACAAUACUGGAACCAGUGGUUGAAGUUGCAGAUUCUUGUACUGUGGCUGUGGAUGAUGCAGAGAUAAAUGAUGAUAUGAGAACAGAGACUUUGGUAGAAAAGUUGGACGUGAAUAGCAGUGAAAAUGUUGGUUCUUGUUCUAUUGGUUAUAGAGAAGUUGUGAUUGAGCCAGGUAGAAGCCAUCUUGUAACUGAUACAGAGCCAAGUUGCCCAUUUAAUGAUGCAGAAACAGAAGUUGAGACUGAUUCCACAGCCAUUGAAUCUAGAGAAAAAGUAUCUACUUUCUCAAGUGAUGAGGUGGACAAAGAAAUUGAGGUUUCACUGGGGGCUGCUAAAUGUGUUGGCAGCAACUCUGUUUCAGUUGAAAAUAGAGAGGACUGUAUACAUGAAUCGGUUGAGAAUCCAUUUGGUGCAGAAGCAGAGCCAAAUCUUGAAAAUACACUGAUGGAUUCAAGUGAAGUUGUGGCCAAUGUUGAUAGAUGUGCAUCUGAAUGUGAGGGUCUGAAUGGCUCUGUUAUUACUAGUGAAAGAACCAUAAAUUGCAUUCAGGAUGCUGAAAAAAGUGGAGACCAAUUGGUUACCAUUGAUGGUGAUGAAAAAACACCUCAAGAAAUGGAGGUCACCGAUGAGGCUAAAGAAGCCUCACCAUCCUCUCCAGGAGGCUCCUCAGUAGAUGCUUCCGAGGGGCAAAAUGCAGCAGUUGAGGUAGGGAAAAAGCCAUUCUACUACAUGAUCAGAAUUCCUAGAUAUGAUGAUGAUGAAAAUUUAAAAGAACAGAUAAAUCAUGCUCAGUUUCAAGUUGAUGAGAAGACUAAAAGUCGGGAUGUUAUUCGAGCUGAAAUGCAACGGAAAAGGGCCAUUUGUAAUGAGCAUGGUGCUUGUGUUGAUGCUGCCAUAUCGGAAGAAGUAGCAGCUCGCAAUUUGCUUAAGGCUAAACGCAAGGAAAUAGACUCUGCUCAAUCUCUGAUUAACAGAGUGAAGAGUGCCUCUUCUGUUGAGGAAAUUGAUGGCAAGAUACGUAGUAUGGAACACAUGAUACAGCAUGAAACCCUGCCCUUAAAGGAAGAAAAGAGUUACAUCCGUGAAAUCAAGCAGUUGAAGCAAAUUCGUGAACAGAUUUCUUCUAGUUUGGGUAAGCCAGAGGAUGUUCAGGAGGCUAUAGAUCAGAAAGACCAAGUUGAAGAACGCCUGAAGCUUUUGAGGAAAGAAGCAGACCACUUGAGAGAAAAUGUUCUCAAAGCUGAAGCAGCCAUUAGAAAUGCUAAGAAGACAUAUCAAGAUGAAAAUGCUAAAAUAAAUGAAUUGGUAGCUCAGUUUAGAGCCGCAGAUGACAUUCGGCAGGAAGCAUAUGCACAUCUACAGACUUUGAGGAAGAGAUUAUAUGAUAAGGUAUGUAGUUUCUAUAUUUGCACAUGAUUUUCAAUAUGUGAAUUCUUCAUUACUACAUUAAGCUAUAUGCCAAAUUUUUUGUAACAUAGGGACCAUGAGAGAGCUUUAUAUGGGUGAGGGGGUCAUAGCCCUAAACUUUGUAUAAUUCUUCUUUUCACCGUGUAAUGUUUUCCAUCAAUAUUUCUCUCCAAUUUUAGAUGGUCUGGCCCUACACUUGAUGACGAAGUAACUUAUGCUCCGUGUAAACGAUAUGAUCACAAUAAUACUAGAAGAACAAGCAUUCUAAUUAUGUAAAACAAAUUGAUUCUCUAAUAUUAUCCAUUGAAUUUUCAGAAUAAAUACUUUUGGAAGUACAGGGAUGAUUCAAAGGUAGCUUAUGAUUUAGCAUCCAAGGGAAAUAAAGAGGAACUCCAAUGUCAUUGUGUUAACC